This 474-nucleotide ribosomal RNA is filed under the name uncultured organism. RNAcentral describes it as "partial 16S ribosomal RNA". It matches the Rfam family "Bacterial small subunit ribosomal RNA", at positions 331 to 797 of the family's 1533-position model. The record is from RNAcentral.
GUACACUCCUACGGGAGGCAGCAGUGGGGAAUUUUGGACAAUGGGCGAAAGCCUGAUCCAGCAAUGCCGCGUGAGUGAAGAAGGCCUUCGGGUUGUAAAGCUCUUUUGUCAGGGAAGAAACGGUGAGAGCUAAUAUCUCUUGCUAAUGACGGUACCUGAAGAAUAAGCACCGGCUAACUACGUGCCAGCAGCCGCGGUAAUACGUAGGGUGCAAGCGUUAAUCGGAAUUACUGGGCGUAAAGCGUGCGCAGGCGGUUUUGUAAGUCUGAUGUGAAAUCCCCGGGCUCAACCUGGGAAUUGCAUUGGAGACUGCAAGGCUAGAAUCUGGCAGAGGGGGGUAGAAUUCCACGUGUAGCAGUGAAAUGCGUAGAUAUGUGGAGGAACACCGAUGGCGAAGGCAGCCCCCUGGGUCAAGAUUGACGCUCAUGCACGAAAGCGUGGGGAGCAAACAGGAUUAGAAACCCCUGUAGUCCC